RNAcentral lists this long non-coding RNA (282 nucleotides) under Castor canadensis (American beaver). RNAcentral describes it as "lncRNA (ENSCCNG00000006916.1)". The record is from RNAcentral. Lineage: Eukaryota; Metazoa; Chordata; Mammalia; Rodentia; Castoridae.
AGAGGUAGAAACUUCACCCAGAGAACUUUCUGGAAAAUUAACUGCGUAUUUGCGUAAAGAGCACUGCAUUUGGAGACCAGGAGAAAAAGGUCACCAUCAGAAAAGCUAAGUUUGCUAUACAGUAAGGAUCAGGAGAUCUGAUCCUGAUUGCAGAGCCACCCCUGAUUGCAGAAUCCUGGGUUGUGUCUCCCAUUUCAUCCUUCCAGACCACCCCAGAAGAUCUGUAAGAGUCCAUCUGGGAAAUCACUAGGAAUUCUUGGAAGGGAAAGAAGGAUUGUUGGU